This 321-nucleotide long non-coding RNA is filed under the name Pan troglodytes (chimpanzee). Its description in RNAcentral is "long non-coding RNA NONPTRT001807". Lineage: Eukaryota; Metazoa; Chordata; Mammalia; Primates; Hominidae. The record is from RNAcentral.
UAAUAGUAGCUGCUCCAUGAAGAAAUGUGAGUGAAUUCAUGAGUAAGGGAGAGUGACCAGGGCCUAGACAGAGUCCAGCUCUCAAACUUGGACUUUGCCUGGUCCCCUCAGCCUUCUGUGUCCAGACUCUGCCCAUUCAGGGUCUAGGAUGGAGACCUGUCUUGCUUUUUCCAGAAUUUGACCCUGUCCUCUGUCCCAGGCUUGGGGUCCUACUGUUGGAAACGCUAUAUGGACGACCACUGCCUGCCUACGGGCCACCAGUAAAGACUUCAUGAGUAAGGGAGAGUGACAGGUCUGUACCACCAUGCCUGCCUAAUUUUA